CAAAAUUUCUCUUAAUAACAGAUUGAUGAAUUGGAAUUCAAACACGACGACCAAAUCGCGAACAGUGAACACGAACCGAACCACAAACGAAAUCCGAACGCAACCUCAAACAAACUCGGCUCAAUCAAACGAACUCCAUUCCAAGCAAAAAUUCAGGAAAAAGAAACAGAAGUCUUUUGUUUUUUUUUCUGAUUCUUUUAAACACGGAAAAAAUAAAGCUUGAGUCAUGAAUCAAUUUCAGAUUAUUUCGUUCUUCAUUUUUUUUGUUUAAAAUCUGUCCCGUUUCUUCUCAUCCAUGGUUGAUGGCUGCUGGUCGUUUGAGGCUGGUUGACAACCGAGUUUUCUGGCGAGUUUUUGACGCGGAUAGGGGCUAGUUUGGUUGUCGUUUGGUGUGGGAGACGGCGGAUAUGGGAGCUGGAUUUAUGGUCGUUGGCUGGAGGGUGAGGGACGGCGGAGAUGGAGAAUCCCGGCGGCGUCUGGUUGGUUUGACGACGGGUCUUUGGGCGUUAGGGCUGGGCGGCGGCUGGUUAACUAGGUUAGUCUCUAGGGUUGUGUUUUGUUUCCACCAUAUUUGGGAAAUAGAGGGGAGUCAAAUGAGGUUCUGCUGGGGCUUGUGCGAUGGAGAUGAGGGAAGGAGCGACGGCGGAUUUUGGGUGGUCUCCUAGGGUUCAGCCUUGUGAGAGUUAUCAAGGAAGAAGAAGGCUUGUCUAGGGUUUGUGUUGUUGUCUUGUUUUUAUGUUGAAGAAGAUAG
Molecule: long non-coding RNA, 751 nt
Filed under: Nicotiana benthamiana
Lineage: Eukaryota; Viridiplantae; Streptophyta; Magnoliopsida; Solanales; Solanaceae
Description: long non-coding RNA (NBEN_LNC036933)
Source: RNAcentral